AUGACAAAACCAAAACGGGCAGGAGGCAUAGGCUUUAGAGAUAUGCAUCUAUUUAAUCUAGCUUUGCUGGCCAAACUGACGUGGAGACUCAUCCACAGACCUAACCGUUUGUGUGCUAGGGUGCUUAAGUCAAAAUACUACCCUCAUGGCAAUCUGUUGGACAUUGUGUUUGCAUCAGAUGCCUCUCUGAUAUGGAGAGGCAUUGAAGCUGGCCUCGAGCUUUUGAAAAAGGCAUUAUUUGGUGCGUUGGGGAUGGUAAGAGGAUUCAAAUCCAGUGUGACCAAUGGAUCCCGAGGAAGGAGGGCCUAA
Molecule: ribosomal RNA, 309 nt
Filed under: Triticum aestivum (bread wheat)
Lineage: Eukaryota; Viridiplantae; Streptophyta; Magnoliopsida; Poales; Poaceae
Description: partial small subunit ribosomal RNA
Source: RNAcentral